This is a long non-coding RNA of Epinephelus fuscoguttatus (brown-marbled grouper), 291 nucleotides long. RefSeq lists it as uncharacterized. The transcript has 3 exons. NCBI's taxonomy places the organism in Eukaryota, Metazoa, Chordata, Actinopteri, Perciformes, Serranidae. The record is from RefSeq and is a predicted model, not a curated record.
GGAAUAGCAAAGCUGACGUGUGUGAUCCUGGGCGCUCUGACUGUUGUCCUUGUGAUGGUCAUCAUUGGUCUGGUUGUGAAAAACAGGAAACUUCAGACAGCUGCCAGGGACGGACAGAAUCAACAACAGCAUGAGACUCUGGGCUCUGAUGGCCAGAAAGACGCAGCACUGGCUUUGCACUUGCCAACAGUGAGGAACAGGAGCCCUGCAUCACAGAGAGAAGUGGAGACUCAUGUUAUUUAUGCUGCCCGCAGAUAGACUCAGAGAGGAACUGAUGCUUUUGUCACAUUA